Molecule: small RNA, 1350 nt
Filed under: Cryptococcus neoformans H99
Lineage: Eukaryota; Fungi; Basidiomycota; Tremellomycetes; Tremellales; Cryptococcaceae
Description: Cryptococcus neoformans var. grubii H99 hypothetical RNA
Source: RNAcentral
GCCUUCUAAGCGUUUUCAUCCAAGCCUAAAAGCCUGUAAUUCUCAUAUGGGCUGUGUGGCUAAAUAGGAUAGACUCCCCAUAUACUUGCUCGCCGCUCGUUAAAUGCCUACGGAGAUUACGUAUUUUGUAGUUCUUCGUUGAUGCUACGGCCGGCGGGUUCGCUUGUUCGCACGCACAGACAUGGCAACAUACUACAUUUAUAUAGGAUUUAGGAGCUAGCUGUCUUGUUUGCCCGUUACCAUAAUUACUCAUUGAGGCUCCAUCGACACAUAUUAACUCUCAUAUGGACAACAUCACCUGCGUUUCAAUCGCAAUCAAUGUCUUCCAUCGUUGGCCGACUUCUCCCACAUCCGUGGGCCCUCUAUCGAAAAUUUAGCCUUUAUCGCGGCCUUCAUUUUCACAAGCAAUGAACCCAUCCUUUAGCGUUUUGAGCAGCAUUAAGUGCUGUACAUUCUCAUGGAGUCUUUUUUGUGCGAGGUGCAAAGGAUACUAGCAAAAAUGCCCCGAGGAUGUAUGGGCAGGCCCGUCGAGUCAGUCAAGUCAUGUCCUUGAAAAGCAAUAUCCGCUGUAUGGGUGGCAAAAGCCAGGCAUGGAUCCAAUUAUGCUCGCAGUUAUUCAAAUCCUCCACUCUCUUGAAUCUUCUCGCAAGGUGGAAUUGACGACACCCUGCGCCCAGCUUGCCAAAAUGAGUUCCCAGUCCUUCUAACCGUUCAUUGGACAGAAGCCCCCUAAAACAAUUUCACCUUGUCCCGGUCCAACCUCCACCUCGCACGUCCCCGAUUUGAUAUUGUUGACUCCGAGCUUGGUAUUGCUGUUACUGUUGCCCAAGAUAGUCUGGAUGUGGGUGAGGUCGAGGUAGGGCCUUUGGCUCCAUCUCAUGUUACAGGGUCUGUCAGCGGCAUCGGCAUACGCUUGAAGACAAUGAGGAGGAAGAGGGCUAGUGAAGUCAGUUUGGAGGGCGCUGAAGAAGGCGGAACCGUAAAUAAACAUAGGAGAGUAAUCUAAGUCUAGAAAAUGGGACGAACUUCAUACUUAUACAAAAUAAAUACAAUUUCAGAAAACCUUCCCUUGUAUGUCUUACAUAUGAUAGAACAAGCCUUCCUUGAAAUUAGGGAUGUAGGAAGAAAGGCAACCCAUAGUCAUAGUCACACAAGAAAUGGUUCCCACCAUAUCGUCCUUAUUAAGGUCUACCCAACCGAUUGUCUGAUUGGGCCAUGUCUGAAAAGAAGCAUCAGAGAGCUGAUCAGAGAUAAGAGGAUCAAAGCUUUUCAGGGGAGUAUUACAUCUUUAGUAGACAUGUUUCUCCUCCUUAUAUUUGGUGCCACCCAGCCAUGAUCGUCAAUGCCAUA